UUCUACAACAUACAUCCAGUACUUUAGAUUAUGGCACUAUCAAUCCCCUUUGUUUGGUCAGUACUUGGUAUCAGCCCUGUAUCAAUGGUACAUCUUUAAUCAAUAACAAACAAAACUUCCAUGGCACAGAUCUCAUGCCAGAAAGCUGUAAGACAAACCAUUUUUUUUUCCAUGUUUUGAUUACCACAAUAAAUUAAAGUGAAUUUUGAUUGGCAUUGCAAACUCAGAAAAGAAAUUGCAGAAUUUUAGAGCUCAAGGGCACAGCUAAGCUCUAGAAUGACCUAAGAUUUGGAUACAGGAACAUUAUAAAGGCAUUUGGCCACACUGACCUUUAACAAAGUCAUAGUCAUAGAUAUGCAUUGCUUGAUAGCAGGAGGUACAUGAUUCCAGAAAAAAGCCUGCCCUCCCAAAAUCAUGUUCCAACACAUGUAUCAUUUUAAGAAAAUAAGCAUAAUUUUUUCAGAAGACAUAUUUGUUACUCUUUAGAUGUCUUGUGCACCACUUUUUCAUGACAAAAAUAGACAUGCUUUGAAGAAGCACAGAAGAAUCGGCUAAAAAGCAUUCAUAGAAAGUCUCAGAGCGGCUUAAACCUCUGCUUAUGCACAUAACAAGUGGAGUAACUUUGCUUUUGUUUUAUAUUUUUGUAUUUUUAAUUGAUAAUCAUAAAAACAAUAACUAUUGUUAGUUCUCAUAUGUGUAAAACAUACAAAUGUAUCUGCACAGUAGUACGCUUUUUGCAUGCAAAAAACCACAUGGAGGCCAAGGAAAAAAGCUACUCCUUUGAUGCAGUUGUCAUCCUUGAGAUAGUGGUGCCCGACAAGGGAUCCAACACCUUAUGUGGCUUAUCAUAUCCAGAUAAAAUCUGUUAACUUGUUUCUGUAUUUAAACCUAAAUCUGGUAGUCAUAAGAGUUGUCCAAACAUUUGGGCUUGCAGGUGGUAACACAAUCUGCAAGGAACAAUCCUAUGUCCCAAAGCCUUUUGGAAGUGGGGCCGGGGACUAUCAAAGAAGGAAAAAAAGAAAAACAAAGAAGUCUUCCAAACAUUUUCUACCAUUGUAUGUGUACAAAGCAGUUUAAGUGGAAAGUCAAAAACUUUAAGUUAAACCAAAACAUGGAAUGGGGCAAAUGAAAUAGUUGCACAAUCCGCUUAGUUUAGUCAAAGCACAUCUUAUGAGGAAAUACAAAAAUCUGUUAAAAGUAUUUAGUUUCAUAGUUAUUAAAAUGUAAUAUAAAAGGCAUUUAUGUCUUACAUCAGUUAAAGGGUAACUUUUCAAUUCUAUACUGUAUUAUAUUAAGAUAUAAAGAAAGAGUCAACUAACGAUAGGUAGUAGCCUCACAUUUGUUCACCCUCAUUCUUGUCUUCCCUUUUUCAUGUUUUUCUCUUUUCUAACAUGGUAUUAGAACAUGUUCAAAACCUAGCUGCUGUUAUCAUAAACCCUAGCAGCCACCUCUAUAAACUAAGUUCUAGUAGCCACAAACCCUACCUUAGCUGCUGGAAGCACUAAAAACCUAAUCUUCAUUGACUAUUAAUCAGUAUUCGGAGCUGAUCUUCUGGUGACCCAUCCCCUUGUUGUGGCUGUUUCAGUCUUUGUGGUCACCUUUCUGAUGUGUGUUCUCCAUGUCGUAAGAGUGUCAGUGUGGUGUUCAAGGUGCAUUGGUUUUUUCACUUGCCCUACCUAUAUAUGGAUAGGUAAAGGUACAUUUCAGAUUGAAUUUUUUUUAUUACUACAGCAGCACUGCUGCAACUAAUGAAGACAAUUAAUUCCAACAACAACAUGGGGAUUCAAAUUGUUGUGAGCUAGAACUGUGAAGGUUUAAAUUGGACCAAAGGAAAACUUAAAGCAUCUGACUGAAGAUCCACCUCUAAAAGAGUCAAAAAGGAUUUGAAGAAUGGCAGCAAAAUGACAACACAAUUAUGACCUGGUUGUGGAGUAGUAUGGAGAUAAAUGUAAAUUCUAAUUACAUUUUUGGAUACUAAGAAGUAGAUCUCCAAUGCUGUCAAAGAGAUGUAUUCACAAGAGACACAUAUUUCUAGAACAUAUCAAUUGUAUGAAAAAAAACAUUGCUGUCAACCAAAAUGGUAGCCCACUCAAUAGAGAGGAGUUGAACAUCCAUCAGGCACUUUAAUGAUAUCGAAGGGCAAUGAAGAUAAAGAGAGGAGUUUACAGUGGUCAAAUUCCUUUCUGGGCUUGAUUCAGAAUAUCAUGAGCCAAAGAACAAUAUAGUCACCAGUGAAAAACUAUCUUGUCUCAGCUAUUUGUACUGUCAUAUGUAGCAUGUUAAUGUGUCUUCCUCUUAGACUGGUUCUAGUGGUGCAUCAGCAUCAUUUUCUGUAGGUUGUGAUAGAGGUGAGAUUGAUAAGGCCAUGGUAGAGGUUCAGUGGGAGAUAAAGGUAAAAAGAAAGCAGAUAGACAGCAAUUCCAAUAAUACCAAUGGUUCUGAAAAUCAAAUUGCAGCUUCUAAACUUGACAGCAGCACCAAAGAUCCAUCAAUUAAUCCAACCAUCAGGCUAGCUCAUGUGGUAGUGAUGCUUUUCUUACCACUAGUAACUCUUCCCUCACCAUAGAUUAUUGAUAUAUGAGCACCAUUUCAUGUAACUAGUAAGUUUUCCCUUUCUUGACAAUUCCAAAAUCAACAAAAAGGUCUGUUGAAUAUAAUGUAUAUAUAGUGUACAGUCUUUCCUUUUUAAUAUAGGUUACAUGUAUGGUAGUUAGUUCUCCUAGGCUUAUAUAUAUAUAUAUAUAUUUCUCAAUUGUAAGGAGUUAAUCACAUGAAUGAGAAUUAAGGUUUUUCUUCUUUCUCUCUCUCUCAACAUGGUAUCAGAGCCAAGGAAGAAAACCUAAUUCUUUCCUGUUUCCCGUGUCAUCAACUCCGGGAAACCUUCCGGUGACCGUGUUUCUUUCCGGUCACCUUCCCCAUCUCCCAAUACUUUCCGGUCAGUCGGAUCGUUGUUAGAAACCACUCACCGCCGGCGAAAUUUUCCGGUGAAAUUUUCCGGCGAACUUUCCGGCGACUUAUUUUUCCGACACCGACCAUACCAGAAGGAGCGCCUGGAGGAGAUCUCCAACUUUUGUGAAGGCACCGGCACCAAAAGAGCAUCCACGCGCCGAUCACGCGCCAUUUUCCGUCCGGCGGCUGCAUCUCACGCGCCGGUGCGUGAGGGCGCGUGAGCCAUUUUCCGGCGACGCGCAUCCUCCUCCAGCUUCGCCUGACGCCGACCAGCCUCCCUACCUCCUUGGUUCUCCCAUCCGAGCCCUGCACGUACCUCUUUUGGGGAUUUUUGUCUCCGUCGGCCCUCCAAACAGUCUUUCCGGCGAAGCUCCGACUACUUUUUCUCCACUCCAAUCCCUGCACGUGCCUUGGGAAGUGUUCUUCUACCUUUCUGGUGGUACCACGCCGCGAUCUGAGGCCGUCUCCCUUUUUCGGUGGUGCCACGCCGCAAUCUGAAGCCGUAUUAGGGCUCUCUUAUAUCCAAACAUACUUCAUUCUCCAGAUAAGUGGAUAUGGCCCAGUCCUCUGAUUCUCCGCUGCCUCAGCCUCUGAACUCCUCCGCAUCUCAGACAUCUCAGGCUUCUAUUGCCUCUGUUGCCCAACCUGGUAAUGCCUCUGCCUGCCUUACCCACACAUCUUCUCUUGGACCCUGGAUUCUAGAUUCUGGAGCUUCUGAUCACUUAUCUGGUAAUAAGGACUUUUUCUCCUCUAUUACUACUACCUCUGCUUUACCUACUGUUACCUUAGCUAAUGGUUCUCAAACUGUGGCUAAAGGUAUUGGCUUGGCCCUUCCUCUGCCUUCUCUACCUCUCACUUCUGUCCUUUAUACUCCUGAAUGUCCUUUUAAUCUUAUUUCCAUCAGCAAACUCACUCGUACUCUUAAUUGCUCUAUUACCUUUUCUGAUAAAUUUGUGACCUUGCAAGACCGGAGUACGGGGAAGACGAUUGGCAUAGGACGUGAGUCUCAAGGCCUCUAUCACCUCACCUCGGAUUCAUCUGCUGCAGUUUGCAUUUCCACUGAUGCUCCUCUCCUCAUUCACAAUCGUCUGGGUCAUCCUAGUCUCUCCAAGUUCCAGAAGAUGGUCCCUCGUUUUUCCACUUUGUCGUCGCUUCCGUGUGAGUCAUGUCAGCUUGGGAAACAUACUCGUGUCUCGUUCCCAAAGCGUUUGAAUAAUCGGGCAAAGUCUCCUUUUGAGCUUGUCCACACUGAUGUUUGGGGUCCUUGUCGGACUGCGUCUACUUUAGGAUUUCAGUAUUUUGUCACUUUCAUUGAUGACUAUUCUCGAUGUACUUGGUUAUUUUUAAUGAAAAAUCGAGCUGAGUUAUUCUCUAUUUUCCAGAAAUUUUAUGCUGAAAUCCAAACCCAGUUCAAUAUUUCUAUUCGUGUGUUACGCAGUGACAAUGCCAGAGAAUAUUUUUCAGCCCCAUUUACUUCGUUUAUGUCUCAUCAUGGGAUUCUUCAUCAGUCUUCUUGUGCUUAUACUCCUCAACAAAAUGGGGUAGCUGAACGCAAGAAUCGACAUCUUGUUGAGACAGCUCGUACUAUCCUCCUCCAUAGUAAUGUUCCUUUUCGUUUUUGGGGGGACGCUGUUCUUACCGCUUGUUAUUUGAUUAAUCGUAUGCCCUCCUCUGUCUUACACGAUCAAAUUCCUCACUCCCUUCUUUUCCCUGACCAACCACUUUAUUUCCUUCCUCCUCGUGUCUUUGGUUGUACUUGCUUUGUUCAUAUUCUCACUCCUGGACAGGACAAGCUUUCCGCCAAAGCCAUGAAGUGCCUCUUCUUGGGAUAUUCCAAACUUCAGAAGGGUUAUCGUUGUUAUUCCCUUGAGACUCAUCGAUACUUUAUCUCCGCUGAUGUCACUUUCUUUGAGGACUCAUCAUUCUUUUCCACCACUUCUGAGUCUCUUCCUGUUUCUGAAGUCUUGCCCCUUCCCAUUGUCUCCCCAACUGAUGUCGUGCCUCCUCGACCACUUAAGGUUUAUCAUCGUCGCCCUUGUGUCGCUGCUCCUCUCCCUUUUGUUGAGGCACCUGCUGACUCACUUCCUACCCCUUCGGCUUCUCCUGCCCCGGCUCUACCUUCUCCUGAUGAUUUACCCAUUGCUAUUCGGAAAGGUACUCGCUCUACUCGUAAUCCUCAUCCUAUUUACAAUUUUUUGAGUUAUCAUCGAUUAUCUUCACCCUAUUCUGCUUUUGUUUCUGCUAUAUCCUCUGUUUCUCUUCCAAAGAGCACCCAUGAAGCUCUUUCCCAUCCAGGCUGGCGACAGACAAUGGUGGAUGAAAUGGCUGCUCUGCACUCUAAUGGCACUUGGGAUCUUGUUUUUUACCCUCUGGUAAAUCUACAGUUAGCUGUCGUUGGGUCUACGCAGUUAAGGUUGGUCCUGAUGGUCAGGUUGAUCGCCUUAAGGCCCGCUUAGUUGCUAAAGGCUAUACUCAGGUUUAUGGUUCUGAUUAUGGUGACACAUUCUCCCCUGUUGCCAAGAUUGCUUCUGUCCGUCUGCUUCUCUCCAUGGCUGCUAUGUGUUCUUGGCCUCUUUAUCAGUUAGAUAUUAAAAAUGUCUUCCUUCAUGGUGAUCUUGUCGAGGAAGUUUAUAUGGAGCAACCUCCUGGUUUUGUUGUUCAGGGGGAGUCUGGUUUAGUGUGCAGGUUACGCCGUUCUCUAUAUGGCUUGAAACAAUCUCCUCGAGCAUGGUUUGACCGUUUUAGCUCUGUUGUUCAAGAGUUUGGCAUGCUUCGCAGUACAGCAGACCAUUCAGUUUUCUAUCAUCAUAACUCCUUGGGGCAGUGUAUUUAUCUGGUUGUUUAUGUGGACGACAUCGUCAUUACAGGUAGUGAUCAGGAUGGUAUUCAGAAACUAAAGCAACAUCUUUUUACCCACUUUCAGACUAAAGACUUGGGGAAACUCAAGUAUUUCUUGGGAAUUGAGAUAGCUCAAUCCAGUUCCGGUGUGGUCCUUUCCCAAAGGAAGUAUGCUUUAGACAUCCUGGAAGAAACCGGUAUGUUAGACUGUAAACCGGUAGACACACCUAUGGAUCCGAAUGUCAAACUUGUAUCAGGACAGGGGGAGCCUUUAGGAGACCCUGGGAGAUAUCGACGACUUGUAGGUAAAUUGAACUACCUCACCAUUACUCGUCCAGACAUUUCUUUUCCUGUGAGUGUUGUUAGUCAAUUCCUACAGUCACCAUGUGAUAGCCAUUGGGAUGCCGUAAUCCGCAUUCUUCGAUAUAUCAAAAGCACACCAGGCCAAGGUGUGUUGUACGAGAACAGAGGUCAUACUCAGGUUGUUGGUUACACAGAUGCAGAUUGGGCUGGCUCACCCACAGAUAGACGUUCCACUUCAGGGUACUGUGUUUUUAUUGGAGGUAAUCUAAUAUCUUGGAAGAGUAAGAAACAAGAUGUAGUGGCCAGAUCUAGCGCUGAAGCCGAGUAUCGAGCUAUGGCUCUGGCAACAUGUGAACUCAUAUGGUUGAGACAUCUUCUUCAAGAGUUGAGAUUUAGAAAGGAUGAACAGAUGAAACUCAUCUGUGAUAACCAGGCCGCAUUACAUAUUGCAUCUAAUCCAGUCUUUCAUGAAAGGACUAAGCAUAUUGAAGUUGACUGUCACUUCAUUAGAGAGAAGAUCGCAUCAGGAUGUGUUGCUACAAGUUUUGUUAAUUCAAAUGAUCAACUAGCAGACAUCUUCACUAAAUCUCUCAAAGGUCCUAGGAUUAAAUACAUUUGUAACAAGCUUGGUGCAUAUGACAUAUAUGCUCCAGCUUGAGGGGGAGUGUUGAAUAUAAUGUAUAUAUAGUGUACAGUCUUUCCUUUUUAAUAUAGGUUACAUGUAUGGUAGUUAGUUCUCCUAGGCUUGUAUAUAUAUAUAUAUUUCUCAAUUGUAAGGAGUUAAUCACAUGAAUGAGAAUUAAGGUUUUUCUUCUUUCUCUCUCUCUCAACAAGGUCAUUUGUUACUCUGACUGAUAGAUCUUCUUCACCUAUUUUAGGCCAAGGUGGUUCACCAAACACCAUUUUCUACUAUAAAAUCUUGUAACUAGGACAAUAUUUCUGAUAUAUGUCUAGCAUGAUUUGACCAGUUGUAUUAUUGGGGAGUAACAUACUAGAAAGACAGUUAUGAUAUAAAUUGGAUAUGAUAGGCAUUAGCCAGCAUGUGAAUAAAGUAUACAAACCAC
RNAcentral lists this long non-coding RNA (7154 nucleotides) under Vitis vinifera (wine grape). RNAcentral's name for it is "long non-coding RNA (VVIN_LNC001191)". The record is from RNAcentral. Lineage: Eukaryota; Viridiplantae; Streptophyta; Magnoliopsida; Vitales; Vitaceae.